RNAcentral lists this ribosomal RNA (254 nucleotides) under uncultured archaeon. RNAcentral's name for it is "partial 16S ribosomal RNA". It matches the Rfam family "Archaeal small subunit ribosomal RNA", at positions 474 to 727 of the family's 1478-position model. The record is from RNAcentral.
UACUUGCGGUCCAAGUCGCAGCCACAUUUAUUUGGUCUAAAACAUCCGUAGCUUGCUUGGUAAGUUUCCUGUGAAAUCUUAAGUCUUAAACUUAAGGCGUGCAGGAAAUACUGCUUUGCUAGAGACUGGAAGACGUAAGAAGUACAUCUAAAGUAGCGGUAAAAUGUGUUAAUCUUAGGUGGACUCACAAUAGCGAAGGCAUCUUACGAGGACAGUUCUGACAGUAAAGGAUGAAGGCUAGGGGCGCAAAGUGG